UACGUAGGGUGCGAGCGUUAAUCGGAAUUACUGGGCGUAAAGCGUGCGCAGGCGGUUUUGUAAGCCAGAUGUGAAAUCCCCGGGCUUAACCUGGGAAUGGCAUUUGGGACUGCAAGGCUGGAGUGCGGCAGAGGAGACUGGAAUUCCUGGUGUAGCAGUGAAAUGCGUAGAUAUCAGGAGGAAUACCGAUGGCGAAGGCAGGUCUCUGGGCUGACACUGACGCUCAUGCACGAAAGCGUGGGGAGCAAACAAGG
RNAcentral lists this ribosomal RNA (254 nucleotides) under uncultured bacterium. RNAcentral describes it as "partial 16S ribosomal RNA". It matches the Rfam family "Bacterial small subunit ribosomal RNA", at positions 524 to 777 of the family's 1533-position model. The record is from RNAcentral.